GGGGUUGUACUGGUUUCGACGGGGGUUUUGAAAUUGUGGUAGCCAUUCGCAGACUAGGACUGCGUCAUCAACUUAGAACUUAAAAUUAAACGCAAACGAUAAUUACGAAUUAGCAGCUGCUUAAUUGCAGCUCUUGUCGGCCUUAGGCGUCCUACGGCUUAAGAUCCCGGCAUCAAACUAGUAGGGACCUUUAUCUCCAAAGCUUUGAGGUGAUAAAAGAUUUAUGAAGCUACCGAAACUGGAAGCCUGUCUGUCGGCGUCUAGUAGAGGGAACAGUGUGGAUAGGCCACACAUAAUAGACUGACUGUAAUGGGAGAGACUGCAAUGGAAGGGCUUUCGGACGCGGGUUCGACUCCCGCCAGCUCCAUUG
RNAcentral lists this transfer-messenger RNA (370 nucleotides) under Lachnospiraceae. RNAcentral's name for it is "Mobilitalea sp012518975 Standard tmRNA". It matches the Rfam family "transfer-messenger RNA". Rfam says of the family: Bacterial tmRNA, also known as 10Sa RNA or SsrA, is named for its dual tRNA and mRNA-like properties. Its role is to liberate the mRNA from a stalled ribosome. Lineage: Bacteria; Bacillati; Bacillota; Clostridia; Lachnospirales. RNAcentral also lists the same sequence under 2 other names. The record is from RNAcentral.